RNAcentral lists this ribosomal RNA (253 nucleotides) under uncultured bacterium. Its description in RNAcentral is "partial 16S ribosomal RNA". It matches the Rfam family "Bacterial small subunit ribosomal RNA", at positions 524 to 776 of the family's 1533-position model. The record is from RNAcentral.
UACGUAGGGUGCAAGCGUUGUCCGGAAUCAUUGGGCGUAAAGAGCGUGUAGGCGGUCCGGUAAGUCCGCUGUGAAAGUCGGGGGCUCAACCCUCGGAUGCCGGUGGAUACUGUCGGGCUUGAGUACGGAAGAGGCGAGUGGAAUUCCUGGUGUAGCGGUGAAAUGCGCAGAUAUCAGGAGGAACACCAAUUGCGAAGGCAGCUCGCUGGGACGUUACUGACGCUGAGACGCGAAAGCGUGGGGAGCAAACAGG